This 19-nucleotide unclassified non-coding RNA is filed under the name Mus musculus (house mouse). Its description in RNAcentral is "oocyte_clustered_small_RNA300". The record is from RNAcentral. Lineage: Eukaryota; Metazoa; Chordata; Mammalia; Rodentia; Muridae.
UUAGGACAAGGGUAGAAGG